Molecule: ribosomal RNA, 639 nt
Filed under: Pleurotus eryngii
Lineage: Eukaryota; Fungi; Basidiomycota; Agaricomycetes; Agaricales; Pleurotaceae
Description: eukaryotic LSU rRNA
Rfam family: 5.8S ribosomal RNA (bases 245-398)
Source: RNAcentral
AAGGAUCAUUAAUGAAUUCACUAUGGAGUUGUUGCUGGCCUCUAGGGGCAUGUGCACGCUUCACUAGUCUUUCAACCACCUGUGAACUUUUGAUAGAUCUGUGAAGUCGUCUCUCAAGUCGUUAGACUUGGUUUGCUGGGAUGUAAACGUCUCGGUGUGACUACGCAGUCUAUUUACUUAUAACACCCCAAAUGUAUGUCUACGAAUGUCAUUUAAAGGGCCUUGUGCCUAUAAACCAUAAUACAACUUUCAACAACGGAUCUCUUGGCUCUCGCAUCGAUGAAGAACGCAGCGAAAUGCGAUAAGUAAUGUGAAUUGCAGAAUUCAGUGAAUCAUCGAAUCUUUGAACGCACCUUGCGCCCCUUGGUAUUCCGAGGGGCAUGCCUGUUUGAGUGUCAUUAAAUUCUCAAACUCACUCUGGUUUUUUCCAAUUGUGAUGUUUGGAUUGUUGGGGGCUGCUGGCCUUGACAGGUCGGCUCCUCUUAAAUGCAUUAGCAGGACUUCUCAUUGCCUCUGCGCAUGAUGUGAUAAUUAUCACUCAUCAAUAGCACGCAUGAAUAGAGUCUGGCUCUCUAACCGUCCGCAAGGACAAUUUGACAAUUUGACCUCAAAUCAGGUAGGACUACCCGCUGAACUUAA